This 912-nucleotide ribosomal RNA is filed under the name Bacillus velezensis. Its description in RNAcentral is "bacterial SSU rRNA". It matches the Rfam family "Bacterial small subunit ribosomal RNA", at positions 550 to 1460 of the family's 1533-position model. Lineage: Bacteria; Bacillati; Bacillota; Bacilli; Caryophanales; Bacillaceae. The record is from RNAcentral.
AUUAUUGGGCGUAAAGGGCUCGCAGGCGGUUUCUUAAGUCUGAUGUGAAAGCCCCCGGCUCAACCGGGGAGGGUCAUUGGAAACUGGGGAACUUGAGUGCAGAAGAGGAGAGAGGAAUUCCACGUGUAGCGGUGAAAUGCGUAGAGAUGUGGAGGAACACCAGUGGCGAAGGCGACUCUCUGGUCUGUAACUGACGCUGAGGAGCGAAAGCGUGGGGAGCGAACAGGAUUAGAUACCCUGGUAGUCCACGCCGUAAACGAUGAGUGCUAAGUGUUAGGGGGUUUCCGCCCCUUAGUGCUGCAGCUAACGCAUUAAGCACUCCGCCUGGGGAGUACGGUCGCAAGACUGAAACUCAAAGGAAUUGACGGGGGCCCGCACAAGCGGUGGAGCAUGUGGUUUAAUUCGAAGCAACGCGAAGAACCUUACCAGGUCUUGACAUCCUCUGACAAUCCUAGAGAUAGGACGUCCCCUUCGGGGGCAGAGUGACAGGUGGUGCAUGGUUGUCGUCAGCUCGUGUCGUGAGAUGUUGGGUUAAGUCCCGCAACGAGCGCAACCCUUGAUCUUAGUUGCCAGCAUUCAGUUGGGCACUCUAAGGUGACUGCCGGUGACAAACCGGAGGAAGGUGGGGAUGACGUCAAAUCAUCAUGCCCCUUAUGACCUGGGCUACACACGUGCUACAAUGGGCAGAACAAAGGGCAGCGAAACCGCGAGGUUAAGCCAAUCCCACAAAUCUGUUCUCAGUUCGGAUCGCAGUCUGCAACUCGACUGCGUGAAGCUGGAAUCGCUAGUAAUCGCGGAUCAGCAUGCCCCGGUGGAAUACGUUCCCGGGCCUUGUACACACCGCCCGUCACACCACGAGAGUUUGUAACACCCGAAGUCGGUGAGGUAACCUUUUAGGAGCCAGCCGCCGAA